Molecule: ribosomal RNA, 485 nt
Filed under: uncultured bacterium
Lineage: Bacteria
Description: partial 16S ribosomal RNA
Rfam family: Bacterial small subunit ribosomal RNA
Source: RNAcentral
AUUGAACGCUGGCGGCAUGCCUUACACAUGCAAGUCGAACGGCAGCACGGGUGCUUGCCCCUGGUGGCGAGUGGCGAACGGGUGAGUAAUACAUCGGAACAUGUCCUGUAGUGGGGGAUAGCCCGGCGAAAGCCGGAUUAAUACCGCAUACGAUCUACGGAUGAAAGCGGGGGACCUUCGGGCCUCGCGCUAUAGGGUUGGCCGAUGGCUGAUUAGCUAGUUGGUGGGGUAAAGGCCUACCAAGGCGACGAUCAGUAGCUGGUCUGAGAGGACGACCAGCCACACUGGGACUGAGACACGGCCCAGACUCCUACGGGAGGCAGCAGUGGGGAAUUUUGGACAAUGGGCGAAAGCCUGAUCCAGCAAUGCCGCGUGUGUGAAGAAGGCCUGCGGGUUGUAAAGCACUUUUGUCCGGAAAGAAAUCCUUGGCCCUAAUACGGUCGGGGGAGGACGGUACCGGAAGAAUAAGCACCGGCUAACUACGG